GUCCGGGCUCAAUUUCCUUGGAACAGGAGGUCAUGGAGGGUGAGAACCCCGUACAUGGCUUGGGUGCCGCAGUCCUAGUGAUGGUUCCUCUAAGAGUCGGGUUGUUUGGGAAUGCAGCUCAAAAUGGGUGGUAAAUUUCAUCUAAAGCUAAAUAUUGGCGAGAGACCGAUAGCAAACAAGUAGAGUGAUCGAAAGAUGAAAAGUACUUUGAAAAGAGAGUGAAACAGUACGUGAAAUUGUUGAAAGGGAAGCGUUUGGCAUCAGCCCAUGAUGGUCAUCGAACAUCCUGGCUUCUGCCUGGUGCACUCGAUGGCCAUUGGGCCAGCGUCGGCUCUGCCAGCUGGAGAAAGGCCUUGGACAAGUGGCUCCUUUUCGGGAGCGUUAUAGCCCAUGGCGUCAUGCAGCUUGGUGGGGCCGAGGUCCGCGGGUUUUCCUAGGACGCUGGCGUAAUGGUUCCAAGCGACCCGUCUUGAAACACGGACCAAGGAGUCUAACAUCUAUGCGAGUGUUUGGGUGUCAAGCCCGACCGCGCAAUGAAAGUGAAUGCAGGC
This 551-nucleotide ribosomal RNA is filed under the name uncultured Archaeorhizomycetes. RNAcentral describes it as "eukaryotic LSU rRNA". It matches the Rfam family "Eukaryotic large subunit ribosomal RNA", at positions 173 to 736 of the family's 3401-position model. Lineage: Eukaryota; Fungi; Ascomycota; Archaeorhizomycetes. The record is from RNAcentral.